AUUGAACGCUGGCGGCAUGCCUUACACAUGCAAGUCGAACGGUAACAGGUCUUCGGAUGCUGACGAGUGGCGAACGGGUGAGUAAUACAUCGGAACGUGCCCGAUCGUGGGGGAUAACGGAGCGAAAGCUUUGCUAAUACCGCAUACGAUCUACGGAUGAAAGCAGGGGACAGCAAGGCCUUGCGCGGACGGAGCGGCCGAUGGCAGAUUAGGUAGUUGGUGGGAUAAAAGCUUACCAAGCCGACGAUCUGUAGCUGGUCUGAGAGGACGACCAGCCACACUGGGACUGAGACACGGCCCAGACUCCUACGGGAGGCAGCAGUGGGGAAUUUUGGACAAUGGGCGAAAGCCUGAUCCAGCCAUGCCGCGUGCAGGAUGAAGGCCUUCGGGUUGUAAACUGCUUUUGUACGGAACGAAAAGACUCUUUCUAAUAAAGAGGGUCCAUGACGGUACCGUAAGAAUAAGCACCGGCUAACUACGUG
This 482-nucleotide ribosomal RNA is filed under the name uncultured bacterium. Its description in RNAcentral is "partial 16S ribosomal RNA". It matches the Rfam family "Bacterial small subunit ribosomal RNA", at positions 30 to 507 of the family's 1533-position model. The record is from RNAcentral.